AUGAACUAUACAUGUAUACCGGAUCUAACCUAUAUAGACACUCCUGAUUUCUUAUUGACAGAUAUGCACAUUAUCACAGGAAUAUCUACACCAAUUCAUUUUCUUGGACUAUACUGUAUCAUUUUUAAGACUCCUAAGCAGAUGAGGAGUGUGAAAUGGUACAUGCUAAUUUUGCAUAUUUAUGUUAUGAUAUUUGACUACUCCUAUACAAUUAUGACAGUCCCUUUUGUUCUAUCACCUUUUGCUGCGGGCUUUCCACUUGGUCUGCUUCGUCUCACAGGAAUGUCAGUUGUUGCACAGUCAAUAUAUUUUAUAAUAAUUUACUUUUAACCUUCCAUGUCUACCUAGAUAUAUAUACGAUGGUCCGGUUUACGUGGUUGCUGAAGACAUCACUUACCAUUUUUCAUUUAUUUUCUCAUUGCAUGUGCUUAUUUGUUUCGAAGUGAUUUUCUUUUUCGGAUAUCUUAUUCGGAGCGGUCGUCAGCAACUGAAAGGAAAAACAAUGUCUCAAAGAACGUUUCAGUUGCAGAAAAAGUUUUUUAUAGCACUCAUUUCUCAAGUUUGUGUGCCAUCAGUUUUCUUUAUUAUUCCACUAAUCUACGUUGUGAUAACAAUUUUAACGAAAUAUUAUAAUCAAGGAUAUCUUAAUAUUGCAUUCACAAUUAUCGCUAUGCAUGGACUUGUUUCGACAUCUGCAAUGCUUUCACUUCAUCAACCCUAUCGGGAAACAAUUCUGAAUACGUUUCAAAAAACACCAAGAACCUUGUCCAAGAUCCAAAACUUAAAUGAUAAGCGGUUGCACAGGUGCUCGGCUCGUGUAGCUCAUAUUUCACCUGGUUGA
This 841-nucleotide unclassified non-coding RNA is filed under the name Caenorhabditis elegans. RNAcentral describes it as "Non-coding transcript of protein-coding gene srh-199". Lineage: Eukaryota; Metazoa; Nematoda; Chromadorea; Rhabditida; Rhabditidae. The record is from RNAcentral.